AUGAAAGGCUCUGAUGGCAGCAGGCUGCUUUGGAGCAGGGCUCCCCUCCCUGCUCCGAGGGGCUCCUGUCCCAGCCUGGGGCUCCCCUCGGCUCUGUCACAGCUAAAAACUCUUGUCCCAGCAAGGAAGACGAGAUUCAUGCACAAGUGUCCCUCAGGAACAAAACCAGGGGCUGUUUGGGGUUUUGCACUGUUGGGAGUGAGUGUGGGAUGCUGCUCCAGGGGGCUGCAGGGUGUUGGGGAGCCCCUCACACCAACCCUGAUUUUUAAAUCCUUUUCCCAGUCUUGGUCAGACUGUGAAACAAAUCCUGUUCUGUUUUUUAAUCUUUGUGUCUGCUGGCUGGAGGGAGUCCAUGGAUGCUGGGGGUGCCCUGGGACCCCCAUCCUGCCAGCCCUGCAGCCUGGGGAGCCUGGAGCUUCCUGCUGCCUUCCCAUGGCUGCAGAAACCCUCCCUGGGCCGAGCAGAGGCACUGCUGGCAGCCCCCGUGCUCCUCUGCUGUUUGGAUCCAGCCCUGGCCCUCUGGGAGAAAAGAAGAAUAAUUUUGCAUGUGUGUCUGUGUGUGCAGGGCUGUGUUUGGGCAGCAAGAGCUGCUGCAGCACGAACGUGUCCAAAUACCCAGUGGAUUUCGUUUCUAAUCCCCCCGAGCUGGUGCAGGGGAGGGCUCAGGGUUUCCCCAGGCACUUGCAAAUCCCAUUUCAGGCGGUGGGGAGGUGGUGCAGUGGGGUGGGGCUGAUGGAGCCGAUGGGUUCGGUGGGAUGGGGUCCCAGUGUGGCACCUGAGCAGUUUGCCAUCUGCAGGGGCUGGCAGCAGCCAGACCCUCCCCUGCUGCUGGGUCAUCCCCCUACACUUUGGUUACAGCCCUUUUUUGUGGGAUUCCAGGCUGGUUUGGGUUGGAAGGACCUUAAACCUCAUCCAGUUCCAAUCCCUUGCCACGGUAAGGACAUUUUACUUAGACCACGCUGCUCCAAACCCCAUCCAACCUGGCUUUGGGCACUGCCAGGGAUCCAGGGGCAGCCACAGCUGCUCUGGGCACCUGUGCCAGCCCUGCCCACCCUCCCAGGGAAGGGUUUUCCUCUUCUCCCCAAGCACCACCCCAGGGUGUUCCUGGGCAUCGCUGAUCCUGCCUUGCUGGGGCUGGGGCUGGGGAGACCAGGAUUGUGCACUGCACACGAGGAGGGAGAGGCUGGGUCUGUUCUGUGUCCCUGCCUGCAGCUGGGGACGUGCUGGGGUGCUGGCAGAGCCCGGCAGCGCUGGGGUGCAGCUCCUGCAAACCCCAGCUGGGAGCAGCAGGUUGAGUCGCCUGCUGGGAGCUGUUUUCCAGCCUCGUGCGAGGGAAGGGAGCUAAAAAUACAGCUUGUGUUGUUUGCCUGCAGCUGGAGCUGA
This 1383-nucleotide long non-coding RNA is filed under the name Ficedula albicollis (Collared flycatcher). RNAcentral describes it as "lncRNA (ENSFALG00000028012.1)". Lineage: Eukaryota; Metazoa; Chordata; Aves; Passeriformes; Muscicapidae. The record is from RNAcentral.